UCCCUGGUGGCUCAGAUGGUAAAGCGUCUGCCUGCAAUGCAGGAGACCCGGGUUCGAUCCCUGGGUUGGGAA
Molecule: transfer RNA, 72 nt
Organism: Ovis aries (sheep)
Lineage: Eukaryota; Metazoa; Chordata; Mammalia; Artiodactyla; Bovidae
Rfam family: tRNA
About the family: Transfer RNA (tRNA) molecules are approximately 80 nucleotides in length. Their secondary structure includes four short double-helical elements and three loops (D, anti-codon, and T loops). Further hydrogen bonds mediate the characteristic L-shaped molecular structure. tRNAs have two regions of fundamental functional importance: the anti-codon, which is responsible for specific mRNA codon recognition, and the 3' end, to which the tRNAs corresponding amino acid is attached (by aminoacyl-tRNA synthetases). tRNAs cope with the degeneracy of the genetic code in two manners: having more than one tRNA (with a specific anti-codon) for a particular amino acid; and 'wobble' base-pairing, i.e. permitting non-standard base-pairing at the 3rd anti-codon position.
Source: Rfam